Molecule: long non-coding RNA, 205 nt
Filed under: Homo sapiens (human)
Lineage: Eukaryota; Metazoa; Chordata; Mammalia; Primates; Hominidae
Description: HSALNT0206004
Source: RNAcentral
UAGUAUUGGGAGAGUUCUAGGAUGCAGGAAGGUUUUGUGAAGAAUGAAGUAUCUAAUCUUGGUCAUCCAGAUUACAAAGAUGUUACACAGGAAUGAAAGCAAGUGGGAGGAAGCAUGUUACAUCCAGGGAAGGCAGAAAUUACAUCAGGCUUCCACAAGAAGAGCAGGUGACUGCAGCAUGACAGCUGAAGUCAAAGUAAACAGA